This 467-nucleotide ribosomal RNA is filed under the name uncultured bacterium. Its description in RNAcentral is "partial 16S ribosomal RNA". It matches the Rfam family "Bacterial small subunit ribosomal RNA", at positions 28 to 506 of the family's 1533-position model. The record is from RNAcentral.
GACGAACGCUGGCGGCGUGCUUAACACAUGCAAGUCGAACGGAAAGGCCCUGCUUUUGUGGGGUGCUCGAGUGGCGAACGGGUGAGUAACACGUGAGUAACCUGCCCUUGACUUUGGGAUAACUUCAGGAAACUGGGGCUAAUACCGGAUAGGAGCUCCUGCUGCAUGGUGGGGGUUGGAAAGUUUCGGCGGUUGGGGAUGGACUCGCGGCUUAUCAGCUUGUUGGUGGGGUAGUGGCUUACCAAGGCUUUGACGGGUAGCCGGCCUGAGAGGGUGACCGGCCACAUUGGGACUGAGGUACGGCCCAGACUGCUACGGGAGGCAGCAGUGGGGAAUAUUGCACAAUGGGCGGAAGCCUGAUGCAGCAACGCCGCGUGCGGGAUGACGGCCUUCGGGUUGUAAACCGCUUUCGCCUGUGACGAAGCGUGAGUGACGGUAAUGGGUAAAGAAGCACCGGCUAACUACGU